Long non-coding RNA from Cyprinus carpio (common carp), 177 nucleotides. RefSeq lists it as uncharacterized. NCBI's taxonomy places the organism in Eukaryota, Metazoa, Chordata, Actinopteri, Cypriniformes, Cyprinidae. The transcript is spliced from 4 exons. The record is from RefSeq and is a predicted model, not a curated record.
CCUUUGUGGUGGAGAUGUGCACGAGGACAUCCCAGAUAAAGUGGCAGAUGCUUUGGCAAGUUUUAUAAUCAGACACAAAUUUGCCGAAGCUCGCAGUGAAACUAAAAGUUCCUCGUAUCCGUUCAUGCGGUGAAAUCAAAAUAAAGCAGAGGACACUGAGAAGCAGGCCUGAAACUG